AAUAAGCGCAGUCGUGGGUUUCAGUGUCCAAUUUUGACCAUCCGUCUUAUUUAAAAUAUUUUUAUGAUUAGUAUUUUUAUUGUUAUUAGAUGAUAAAAUAUUUAUAGUACUUUAUGCGUGACUUAACUUUUAAAUUUUUUUCAUAAAAUUUUCAAAUAAAAAAAGAUCAAAUAUUGGCACAGAAACUUACGGCUGCACUUAUA
Molecule: non-coding RNA, 203 nt
Organism: Oryza glumipatula
Lineage: Eukaryota; Viridiplantae; Streptophyta; Magnoliopsida; Poales; Poaceae
Source: Rfam